Molecule: ribosomal RNA, 497 nt
Filed under: uncultured bacterium
Lineage: Bacteria
Description: partial 16S ribosomal RNA
Rfam family: Bacterial small subunit ribosomal RNA
Source: RNAcentral
GAUGGACGCUGGCGGCGUGCCUAAUACAUGCAAGUCGAGCGAACAGACGAGGAGCUUGCUCCUCUGACGUUAGCGGCGGACGGGUGAGUAACACGUGGAUAACCUACCUAUAAGACUGGGAUAACUUCGGGAAACCGGAGCUAAUACCGGAUAAUAUAUUGAACCGCAUGGUUCAAUAGUGAAGGACGGUUUUGCUGUCACUUAUAGAUGGAUCCGCGCCGCAUUAGCUAGUUGGUAAGGUAACGGCUUACCAAGGCAACGAUGCGUAGCCGACCUGAGAGGGUGAUCGGCCACACUGGAACUGAGACACGGUCCAGACUCCUACGGGAGGCAGCAGUAGGGAAUCUUCCGCAAUGGGCGAAAGCCUGACGGAGCAACGCCGCGUGAGUGAUGAAGGUCUUCGGAUCGUAAAACUCUGUUAUUAGGGAAGAACAAAUGUGUAAGUAACUAUGCACGUCUUGACGGUACCUAAUCAGAAAGCCACGGCUAACUACGUG